This 443-nucleotide ribosomal RNA is filed under the name uncultured bacterium. Its description in RNAcentral is "bacterial SSU rRNA". It matches the Rfam family "Bacterial small subunit ribosomal RNA", at positions 338 to 796 of the family's 1533-position model. The record is from RNAcentral.
CCUACGGGAGGCAGCAGUGGGGGAUAUUGGACAAUGGGCGGAAGCCUGAUCCAGCGACGCCGCGUGGAGGACGAAGCCCUUCGGGGUGUAAACUCCUUUUGUCGGGGAAAAAGGACUGAUGGUACCCGACGAAUAAGCCCCGGCUAACUACGUGCCAGCAGCCGCGGUAAUACGUAGGGGGCGAGCGUUACCCGGAAUCACUGGGCGUAAAGGGUGCGUAGGCGGCCGCGUGUGUCUGGCGUAAAAUACCACGGCUCAACCGUGGGAAUGCGCUGGAAACUACGUGGCUUGGGUGCGGCAGAGGCAGACGGAACUGCUGGUGUAGGGGUGAAAUCCGUAGAUAUCAGCAGGAACGCCGGUGGAGAAGUCGGUCUGCUGGGCCGUAACCGACGCUGAGGCACGAAAGCUAGGGGAGCGAACCGGAUUAGAUACCCGGGUAGUCC